RNA transcript from Rhododendron vialii, 2247 nucleotides. It is a transcript of the gene named 2-dehydro-3-deoxyphosphooctonate aldolase 1, with no coding region annotated. The transcript is spliced from 12 exons. Lineage: Eukaryota; Viridiplantae; Streptophyta; Magnoliopsida; Ericales; Ericaceae. The record is from RefSeq and is a predicted model, not a curated record.
UAGGCUCGCAGUAUAAGUAUUUGUCAGAAAACUCGGGAGAAGUUUGUGUAAAUUACGAAAAAUAAAAAUCGAACUUUUGUGUGCCGGAAACAUAAGGACCUACUUCCGAUGCCGGUGGUUGGCAGCACCUCUUACCCAUUUUCAAUUUCAAUUCGAAUUCCAAAUUUGUCUCUGCCAUAAAAGUUGAUCCGAAGCCAAAACAAAGGAAGAAAGGAGCCUACGAAUCAGAUCCCAUUUAGAUCAAAAUCACAACAGCUCACAAAGCUUUUCUUUGUCACGAGAUAAAGCUAAAAUCUUGAAGUGUUUUGUCCAGAGAUGGAUUCUUCGUCGACAAUGCUUUUCAACCAGCUCAAGACUUCGAAACCAUUUUUCUUAAUGGCGGGACCCAAUGUCAUUGAAUCCGAGGAACAUGUUAUGCGUAUGGCCAACCACAUUAAGGCUAUCACUUCCAAACUUGGGCUGCAGCUGGUUUUCAAGUCAAGCUUUGACAAAGCCAAUCGGACGUCUUUCAAAUCAUUUCGGGGUCCUGGCCUUGUUGAAGGCUUGAAGAUCCUUGAGAAGGUAAAGGUAGCGUAUGACAUCCCGAUAGUGACAGAUGUGCAUGAAUCCAUCCAGUGUGAGGCAGUUGGUAGAGUUGCUGAUAUUAUUCAGAUCCCAGCCUUCUUAUGCCGACAGACAGAUCUCCUAGUUGCAGCUGCCGAGACUGGAAAAAUUGUCAACAUAAAGAAAGGCCAAUUCUGUGCUCCUUCUGUCAUGGCAAAUUCUGCUGAAAAGAUUAGAUUCGCUGGAAAUGAAAAUGUUAUGGUCUGUGAGAGAGGAACUAUGUUUGGCUAUAAUGAUUUGAUUGUCGAUCCACGCAACUUUGAGUGGAUGAGGGAGGCUAAUUGUCCUGUUGUGGCUGAUGUCACCCAUUCUUUGCAACAGCCUGCCAGGAGGAAGCUCAUCAAUUGGUUUGGACUUUGGAUUGAUGGAUGUUCCCAACUCUAUGUGGAGUGCUGGAUGAUGGUAAGCAAACUUGGAAUAUGAUGGGUUCUAUUUCGUGGUUAGGAUUCUUACUCUCCGUCAAAGGGACUUCUUUGUUUCCACUUCUAUCUAUUAGUAACAUGGCAGUAACGUGACAUCUGAUCCCUUAAUGAAAACUGAAAAGGUAAUGGCAUCUACAUCUAUGCUCUGUUUCUGUAUCCUUAAUUUUUUUGUAUAUCCACGCACUCAUGCAUACACAAACCCACCCUUGUCUGAGGCAAUUAGUACAAUGAGGUGUCCAGGUACCAAGGGACAUUGUGAGGAAAAAUUGGAUCUUGAUGAGCAAAACGGGACAUUGUGAGCUGCUGCUGACAAAAGAUUUCCUUUAAAAUUUGACAACAGUACUUUGACGCAACUUAUUCUGCCUAAUUGGUAUUACAUGUGCAAGUGGUGACUCGGCUGACCGCCUUCUUAUCAUUAUGAGGGGCUAGAUAGCCAUUGGUGACAAUUUACCUUAGUGUUCAAUGGGUGUUUCUAAGGUGAGGGGUUGACCUUUCACAGUAGGAAGGGAGGGCAGAAGGUUGGAAAGAAGAGGAGGCUGUCACUUUGGACGUGACUUAGUUUUUAUAGAUGGAGGUUGGAUUCCUGAAUAUAUUGUAGUGGAAUAUCAGGAACGCAAAUCUGACCUUUUGAGCAUAUUUUGGGUAUUUUAGUCUAUUGAUGCAUGCGGUAAACAAACUACUUUUGUGUACAGGCAGAGCCCCCUUUUCGUGCACUUUUGUUUUUCUUUGAAGUAAUCUCUUUCUUCUGGUGCUUAUUCUAAAAUAUGCAAAACGUUGUGCCCUAUAUAAUUGUUUUUACGUGGCUUUUGUCUUGCAAGUAGUGUCGAGUCUGUUGACAGUAGCUUAUGAUGUCUUGAGUUGUAGGCUCUUAAAAUAUCUCAGCGGUAGUUUUCUCUUCACUGUUAGCAUUUUAGCUCUUCUUUCUAAGAUUCUGAUCUGCUUUGUAGCAGUUACUAACUUUUUCUGGCAUCCAUACCUUCAAUGAGUUGGAGGUUACUAAAUCGAAGUUACUUGUGUAUCUCUCCUGGCGAUUUUGUUUUAAAAUGUAUAACCCUAGUUCUUUUUUUCCAAAUAGCUGGAGGGUGGUGGUGUCGCCAGUGGGGGUCUUCGUGAACUGAUACCAUGCAUCGCAAGGACAGCAGUUGCUGUUGGAGUUGAUGGAAUUUUCAUGGAGGUACAUGAUGAUCCUCUAAGGGCUCCAGUUGAUGGUCCAACCCAAUGG